Molecule: ribosomal RNA, 409 nt
Filed under: uncultured bacterium
Lineage: Bacteria
Description: bacterial SSU rRNA
Rfam family: Bacterial small subunit ribosomal RNA
Source: RNAcentral
UGGGGAAUAUUGGACAAUGGGCGAAAGCCUGAUCCAGCAACGCCGCGUGAGGGAUGACGGCCUUCGGGUUGUAAACCUCUUUCAGCGCCGACGAAGCGAAAGUGACGGUAGGCGCAGAAGAAGCACCGGCCAACUACGUGCCAGCAGCCGCGGUAAUACGUAGGGUGCGAGCGUUGUCCGGAAUUAUUGGGCGUAAAGGGCUCGUAGGCGGUCUGUCGCGUCGGGAGUGAAAACUCAGGGCUUAACCCUGAGCCUGCUUCCGAUACGGGCAGACUAGAGGUAUGCAGGGGAGAACGGAAUUCCUGGUGUAGCGGUGAAAUGCGCAGAUAUCAGGAGGAACACCAGUGGCGAAGGCGGUUCUCUGGGCAUUACCUGACGCUGAGGAGCGAAAGUGUGGGGAGCGAACAGG